This 253-nucleotide ribosomal RNA is filed under the name uncultured Myxococcales bacterium. RNAcentral's name for it is "partial 16S ribosomal RNA". It matches the Rfam family "Bacterial small subunit ribosomal RNA", at positions 524 to 776 of the family's 1533-position model. Lineage: Bacteria; Pseudomonadati; Myxococcota; Myxococcia; Myxococcales. The record is from RNAcentral.
GACAGAGGGUGCAAACGUUGUUCGGAAUUACUGGGCGUAAAGCGCGUGUAGGCGGCUGCGCAAGUCGGAUGUGAAAUCCCAUGGCUCAACCAUGGAAGUGCACCCGAAACUGCGUAGCUUGAGUCCCGGAGAGGAAGGCGGAAUGCUUGGUGUAGAGGUGAAAUUCGUAGAUAUCAAGCAGAACACCGGUGGCGAAGGCGGCCUUCUGGACGAUGACUGACGCUGAGACGCGAAAGCGUGGGGAGCAAACAGG